CUCAGUAACAGAUACAAACUCAUCACGCACGUCAGAAGCAGCCUUAUGGCCGUCAACAUACAUAUCACCAUUAUCGAACUCAACGCCCUGCAUACGAAAAGACAGAAUCUCUUCCAAGAGCUUGAUGCGGUUAUCCAUCUGCUUAUGGAAGCCAAGCAUUGGGGAUUGAGAAAGAGUAGAAAUGCCACAAGCCUCAAUAGCAGGUUUAAGAGCCUCGAUACGCU
Molecule: ribosomal RNA, 224 nt
Filed under: uncultured prokaryote
Description: partial 16S ribosomal RNA
Source: RNAcentral